This 448-nucleotide ribosomal RNA is filed under the name uncultured bacterium. Its description in RNAcentral is "SSU rRNA". It matches the Rfam family "Bacterial small subunit ribosomal RNA", at positions 26 to 518 of the family's 1533-position model. The record is from RNAcentral.
AGAGCGAACGCUGGCGGCAGGCUUAACACAUGCAAGUCGAGCGGGCGUAGCAAUACGUCAGCGGCAGACGGGUGAGUAACGCGUGGGAACGUACCUUUGGUUCGGAACAACACAGGGAAACUUGUGCUAAUACCGGAUAAGCCCUUACGGGGAAAGAUUUAUCGCCAAAAGAUCGGCCCGCGUCUGAUUAGCUAGUUGGUGAGGUAACGGCUCACCAAGGCGACGAUCAGUAGCUGGUCUGAGAGGAUGAUCAGCCACAUUGGGACUGAGACACGGCCCAAAACUCCUACGGGAGGCAGCAGUGGGGAAUAUUGGACAAUGGGCGCAAGCCUGAUCCAGCCAUGCCGCGUGAGUGAUGAAGGCCCUAGGGUUGUAAAGCUCUUUUGUGCGGGAAGAGUAAUGACGGUACCGCAAGAAUAAGCCCGGCUAACUUCGCGCCAGCAGCCGC